This 446-nucleotide ribosomal RNA is filed under the name uncultured bacterium. RNAcentral describes it as "bacterial SSU rRNA". It matches the Rfam family "Bacterial small subunit ribosomal RNA", at positions 330 to 793 of the family's 1533-position model. The record is from RNAcentral.
GCCAGACUCCUACGGGAGGCAGCAGUGGGGAAUAUUGCACAAUGGGGGAAACCCUGAUGCAGCGACGCCGCGUGAGCGAUGAAGUAUUUCGGUAUGUAAAGCUCUCUCAGCAGGGAAGAAGAUGACGGUACCUGACUAAGAAGCCCCGGCUAACUACGUGCCAGCAGCCGCGGUAAUACGUAGGGGGCAAGCGUUAUCCGGAUUUACUGGGUGUAAAGGGAGCGCAGGCGGCGCGUUAAGCCUGGUGUGAAAGCCCGCGGCCCAACCGCGGGACUGCAUUGGGAACUGGCGCGCUGGAGUGCCGGAGGGGUAGGCGGAAUUCCUAGUGUAGCGGUGAAAUGCGUAGAUAUUAGGAGGAACACCAGUGGCGAAGGCGGCCUGCUGGACGAUGACUGACGUUGAGGCUCGAAAGCGUGGGGAGCAAACAGGAUUAGAUACCCCCGUAA